Chelonus insularis is the source of this 496-nucleotide long non-coding RNA. RefSeq lists it as uncharacterized. The record is from RefSeq and is a predicted model, not a curated record. The transcript is spliced from 3 exons. NCBI's taxonomy places the organism in Eukaryota, Metazoa, Arthropoda, Insecta, Hymenoptera, Braconidae.
GUGAAAUGGCACUUGCUCUCAUGAUUCCCUAUUAAACUGAUAGGUGGUAAUUGAAGUGAUUAUCGAUACUAUACUAACAGCUGGAAAAAAUAAAGGACGCGAAGUUUAGUUUAUAAAACACCUAUUAAAUUCAGGUGAGUGAUAUUGUAAGUGAAUCAAGACAGGAAAGUGUGAUUGAAUAAAAUAGGUAAAGUAAAAUGAAGUGAAAACAUAAAAGUAUACAAUGAUAGAGUUUGUGAGUAAACAAUUAUUACUGUUCACUUUGUUUUUGUUGUUUAAGUUUAACAUUGUAAUUUUGACAACAAAUUUUGACAUGACUCAUUGUACAAUCAAUGGACCGUAAAAUCUCCAUCCUUCGCUGGAUAAUAGACACAAUGGGUCUUUUGAGAGGAAUAAAACAUGACCAAAAAUAUGUACGACUCUAGUGAAUACACAAAAUCCCUUCUAAAGACUAAGCCACACAUAAUUGGACAUCCAGUGCAGCAUUCUAGGAUGU